This 554-nucleotide ribosomal RNA is filed under the name uncultured bacterium. RNAcentral's name for it is "partial 16S ribosomal RNA". It matches the Rfam family "Bacterial small subunit ribosomal RNA", at positions 355 to 900 of the family's 1533-position model. The record is from RNAcentral.
UAGGGAAUCUUCGGCAAUGGGGGCAACCCUGACCGAGCAACGCCGCGUGAGUGAAGAAGGUUUUCGGAUCGUAAAGCUCUGUUGUAAGUCAAGAACGGGUGUGAGAGUGGAAAGUUCACACUGUGACGGUAGCUUACCAGAAAGGGACGGCUAACUACGUGCCAGCAGCCGCGGUAACACGUAGGUCCCGAGCGUUGUCCGGAUUUAUUGGGCGUAAAGCGAGCGCAGGCGGUUUGAUAAGUCUGAAGUUAAAGGCUGUGGCUCAACCAUAGUUCGCUUUGGAAACUGUCAAACUUGAGUGCAGAAGGGGAGAGUGGAAUUCCAUGUGUAGCGGUGAAAUGCGUAGAUAUAUGGAGGAACACCGGUGGCGAAAGCGGCUCUCUGGUCUGUAACUGACGCUGAGGCUCGAAAGCGUGGGGAGCGAACAGGAUUAGAUACCCUGGUAGUCCACGCCGUAAACGAUGAGUGCUAGGUGUUGGAUCCUUUCCGGGAUUCAGUGCCGCAGCUAACGCAUUAAGCACUCCGCCUGGGGAGUACGACCGCAAGGUUGAAAC